UUAAAUUGAAGAGUUUGAUCAUGGCUCAGAUUGAAUGCUGGCGGCAGGCCUAACACAUGCAAGUCGAACGGUAACAGGAAACAGCUUGCUGUUUCGCUGACGAGUGGCGGACGGGUGAGUAAUGUCUGGGAAACUGCCUGAUGGAGGGGG
This 150-nucleotide ribosomal RNA is filed under the name Escherichia coli. RNAcentral's name for it is "partial 16S ribosomal RNA". It matches the Rfam family "Bacterial small subunit ribosomal RNA", at positions 1 to 142 of the family's 1533-position model. The record is from RNAcentral. Lineage: Bacteria; Pseudomonadati; Pseudomonadota; Gammaproteobacteria; Enterobacterales; Enterobacteriaceae.